RNAcentral lists this ribosomal RNA (379 nucleotides) under uncultured Alphaproteobacteria bacterium. RNAcentral describes it as "bacterial SSU rRNA". It matches the Rfam family "Bacterial small subunit ribosomal RNA", at positions 910 to 1283 of the family's 1533-position model. The record is from RNAcentral. Lineage: Bacteria; Pseudomonadati; Pseudomonadota; Alphaproteobacteria.
GGAAUUUGGACGGGGACCCGCACAAGCGGUGGAGCAUGUGGUUUAAUUCGAAGCAACGCGAAGAACCUUACCAAGUCUUGACAUCCCGGUGACCGGUCGGUAAUGCGACCUUCUCUUCGGAGCAUCGGAGACAGGUGGUGCAUGGUUGUCGUCAGCUCGUGUCGUGAGAUGUUGGGUUAAGUCCCGCAACGAGCGCAACCCUUAUCUUUAGUAGCCAGCGGUUCGGCCGGGCACUCUAGAGAGACUGCCAGGGAUAACCUGGAGGAAGGUGGGGAUGACGUCAAAUCAUCAUGCCCCUUAUGACUUGGGCUACACACGUGCUACAAUGGCGUAAACAAAGGGAAGCGAAACCGUGAGGUCUAGCAAAUCUCAAAAAAAA